AGUGAACGCUGGCGGUAGGCCUAACACAUGCAAGUCGAACGGCAGCACAGUAAGAGCUUGCUCUUACGGGUGGCGAGUGGCGGACGGGUGAGGAAUACAUCGGAAUCUACUUUUUCGUGGGGGAUAACGCAGGGAAACUUACGCUAAUACCGCAUACGACCUACGGGUGAAAGCAGGGGAUCUUCGGACCUUGCGCGAUUGAAUGAGCCGAUGUCGGAUUAGCUAGUUGGCGGGGUAAAGGCCCACCAAGGCGACGAUCCGUAGCUGGUCUGAGAGGAUGAUCAGCCACACUGGAACUGAGACACGGUCCAGACUCCUACGGGAGGCAGCAGUGGGGAAUAUUGGACAAUGGGCGCAAGCCUGAUCCAGCCAUACCGCGUGGGUGAAGAAGGCCUUCGGGUUGUAAAGCCCUGUUGUUGGGAAAGAAAAGCAGCAGGUUAAUACCCCGCUGUUCUGACGGUACCCAAAGAAUAAGCACCGGCUAACUUCGUG
This 492-nucleotide ribosomal RNA is filed under the name uncultured bacterium. RNAcentral describes it as "partial 16S ribosomal RNA". It matches the Rfam family "Bacterial small subunit ribosomal RNA", at positions 29 to 507 of the family's 1533-position model. The record is from RNAcentral.